UACGUAGGGUGCGAGCGUUGUCCGGAAUUCUUGGGCGUAAAGGGCUCGUAGGCGGUUUGUCGCGUCGGGAGUGAAAACCCAGGGCUUAACUCUGGGCUUGCUUUCGAUACGGGCAGACUAGAGGCAUGCAGGGGAGAACGGAAUUCCUGGUGUAGCGGUGAAAUGCGCAGAUAUCAGGAGGAACACCGGUGGCGAAGGCGGUUCUCUGGGCAUGUCCUGACGCUGAGGAGCGAAAGUGUGGGGAGCGAACAGG
Molecule: ribosomal RNA, 253 nt
Filed under: uncultured bacterium
Lineage: Bacteria
Description: partial 16S ribosomal RNA
Rfam family: Bacterial small subunit ribosomal RNA
Source: RNAcentral